This 440-nucleotide ribosomal RNA is filed under the name uncultured bacterium. RNAcentral's name for it is "partial 16S ribosomal RNA". It matches the Rfam family "Bacterial small subunit ribosomal RNA", at positions 338 to 795 of the family's 1533-position model. The record is from RNAcentral.
CCUACGGGUGGCAGCAGUGGGGAAUAUUGCACAAUGGGGGAAACCCUGAUGCAGCGACGCCGCGUGAGUGAUGAAGUAUUUCGGUAUGUAAAGCUCUAUCAGCAGGGAAGAAAAUGCAGGUUCCUGACCAAGAAGCCCACGCUAAUUCCGUGUCAGCAGCCGCGGUCAUACGGCGGGGGCAAGCGUUAUCUGGUUUCAAUGGGAGUAAAGGGAGCGUAGACGGCAGAGCAUGACUAGAGUGAAAGCCCGCGGCCCAACGGGGGGACUGCUUUGGAAACUGCACGGCUAGAGUGCGGGAGAGGUAAGUGGAAUUCGAGGUGUAGGAGUGAAAUGCGUAGAUAUUAGGAGGAACACCAGUGGCGAAGGCGACUAUCGGGACAAUAACUGACGUUGAGGCGCGAAGGCGUGGGGAGCAAAAAGGAUUAGAUACCCGAGUAGUC